RNAcentral lists this ribosomal RNA (253 nucleotides) under uncultured bacterium. RNAcentral's name for it is "partial 16S ribosomal RNA". It matches the Rfam family "Bacterial small subunit ribosomal RNA", at positions 524 to 776 of the family's 1533-position model. The record is from RNAcentral.
UACGUAGGGACCAAGCGUUGUUCGGAUUUACUGGGCGUAAAGGGCGCGUAGGCGGCGUAUUAAGUCAGCUGUGAAAUCUCCAAGCUUAACUUGGAACGGUCAGCUGAUACUGAUGUGCUAGAGUGCAGAAGGGGCAAUCGGAAUUCUUGGUGUAGCGGUGAAAUGCGUAGAUAUCAAGAGGAACACCAAUAGCGAAGGCAGCUCGCUGGGACGGUACUGACGCUAAGGCGCGAAAGCGUGGGGAGCGAACAGG